RNAcentral lists this ribosomal RNA (460 nucleotides) under uncultured bacterium. Its description in RNAcentral is "partial 16S ribosomal RNA". It matches the Rfam family "Bacterial small subunit ribosomal RNA", at positions 338 to 795 of the family's 1533-position model. The record is from RNAcentral.
CCUACGGGUGGCAGCAGUGAGGAAUAUUGGUCAAUGGCCGAGAGGCUGAACCAGCCAAGUCGCGUGAGGGAAGACGGCCCUACGGGUUGUAAACCUCUUUUGCCGGGGAGCAACGGGCGUCACGUGUGGCGCCACUGAGAGUACCCGGCGAAAACGCAUCGGCGAACUCCGUGCCAGCAGCCGCCGUAAUACGGAGGAUGCGAACCGUAUUCGGAUUGAUUGGGUUUAAAGGGUGCGUAGGCGGAUCGUUAAGUCAGUGGUAAAAUUGAGGGGCUCAACCCCUUCCCGCCAUUGAAACUGGCGUUCUUGAGUGGAAGAGAAGUAUGCGGAAUGCGUGGUGUAGCGGUGAAAUGCAUAGAUAUCACGCAGAACCCCGAUUGCGAAGGCAGCAUGCCGGCUUCCGACUGACGCUGAAGCACGAAAGCGUGGGGAUCGAACAGGAUUAGAUACCCCAGUAGUC